CAGACCAAGAAAAUUGAAAUUUUACACCCAAAUCUUAUCUUAAUUCAACAUCGAGGUCGCAAACUUUUUCAUCGAUAUGAACUCUCCGAAAAAAUUACGCUGUUAUCCCUAAGGUAAGUUAAUCUUAUAAUCAAAAAUUGGGGGAUCAAAAAAACAUAAAUUAAUGAACAAAAAUAUUAAAAGUUAAAUAAAUUUCAAUGUCACCCCAACAAAACUUUAUAUUCUAAAAAAUUAUUUAAUUAACAAAAAAUAAAAAUUAAUAAAUAAAGUUAACUUCUAUAGGGUCUUCUCGUCCUAUAAAAAAAUUCUAGCUUUUUAACUAAAAAAUUAAAUUCAAAACAAUUGAAAAAAGAAAGUUUAUUUUUCAUCAAACCAUUCAUACUAGCCUUCAAUUAAAAGACAAAUGAUUAUGCUACCUUCGUACAGNUAAAA
Molecule: ribosomal RNA, 432 nt
Filed under: Gerris gracilicornis
Lineage: Eukaryota; Metazoa; Arthropoda; Insecta; Hemiptera; Gerridae
Description: partial 16S ribosomal RNA
Source: RNAcentral